UACAGAGGGUGCAAGCGUUAAUCGGAAUUACUGGGCGUAAAGCGUGCGCAGGCGGAUCUUUAAGUCAGGGGUGAAAUCCCGGAGCUCAACUCCGGAACUGCCUUUGAUACUGAGGGUCUCGAGUUCGGGAGAGGUGAGUGGAACUGCGAGUGUAGAGGUGAAAUUCGUAGAUAUUCGCAAGAACACCAGUGGCGAAGGCGGCUCACUGGCCCGAUACUGACGCUGAGGUGCGAAAGCGUGGGGAGCAAACAGG
Molecule: ribosomal RNA, 253 nt
Filed under: uncultured bacterium
Lineage: Bacteria
Description: partial 16S ribosomal RNA
Rfam family: Bacterial small subunit ribosomal RNA
Source: RNAcentral